GUUCCGCAGCGCUCCGAGCUGCCCCGGCUGGGGCCCGGCGCCGGGGGUGGCUCUGGCCGUGUCCCUGCCGGUCACAGCGGCCUCGGGGGGGGGCAGAUGUUGGCAGAACCCCCGUCCUCUGGUGACCCAGCGCACGAACACCUCAGGUGCUGCCUGUUGAUCCAGCUCUCGCCGCUCCGACACGGAUGGUGUUUAAAACAGCAACAAAAAAGGGAAUGUGGAGCAGCUCGUCUGUCCCUGCUCCGCGGGACACUUAAUGAGGUCUUUUCCAGCCUGAGGGACUCUGUGGUUCCAUGGCUGUGAUUCCCAGCUCCCUGGGGCCCUGUUUGCAGGCACAACCCAUCCCCACCCCCAAGGUGCUGCGGAGGACCAGGGCCAGGAAGAGGCUGGGGGAAGCAGGGAGUAACUGCUGCAUCCAAGGCCAGGAAACAUCCAGCAGCUCCACCCCGAGGGGUUGCAGGUGAUCUCCAGACUGGGUCAAGCUGCUGGGCCAUGCCAAGAUGCACAGGGAAGAUUUGUUAAAGAAAUGAACCAAGGAGGGCGUUGAUGGGAGCGAAAUGGAUGGGACCCCCAGGGACCCUCGUCUUGGAGGCAACUCCAGCGAUGCUGCUCCACAGCCUGGGCGGGCUCUGGAUGGACAGGACCCACCUGGGUUCCCUCAGAACUGCAGAACUGGCCAUCCCAGUUGGUCAUCCUGGAGUCAGGACUCAGAGCUGGUCAUCCCAGUUGG
This is a long non-coding RNA of Corvus hawaiiensis (hawaiian crow), 730 nucleotides long. RefSeq lists it as uncharacterized. The record is from RefSeq and is a predicted model, not a curated record. The transcript has 3 exons. Lineage: Eukaryota; Metazoa; Chordata; Aves; Passeriformes; Corvidae.